ACCCGCUGAAUUUAAGCAUAUAAGUAGGCGGUGGAUGAGAAACUCACAAGGAUUCCUUCAGUAAUGGCGAAUGCAUCAGGACWGGCUCAGUUUGGAAAUCAAGACAUCUUGUCUUGAGUUGUGGGGUUAAGAUAUGCUACUAAUUGAGGUGCAGCAAUAAGCCCUUGGAAAAGAGCAUUGAUAAGGGUGAUAAUCCUGUGUGUCAUUUGCAGCUCUCAGUGUACGGUGUGUCUUCUAAGAGUCAUGUUCCUUGGGAUUGGUGCAUGAAGUGGGUGGUAAACUUCAUCUAAAGCUGAACAUAUGUUUGAGACCAAUAGCAAACAAGUACCAUGAGGGAAAGAUGAAACAGGACUCUGUAAAGAGAGGUAACAGUGUCUGAACUUGCUGAAAGGGAAGUGAAGGAAACCAGUGUAAUUUGGCGAGAUUGCUGCACACAAUUGUGCUUGCCUGYUGCUGCUAGCAAUGCUGCAGCAGGUCUUGAGCAGGAUGUGUGCAGUGUUUCUUGCCCUAUCAAUCAAUGUCAGCAUGCUGAACGAGGGCAACAGUAGGCAUAUGGUGGCCUGUCUCAGGGUGGGUGAACAUGUCUAUCCAACUUGUUUGUGUGCUGCUCGGUGACUACAUGGUUCCAUUCGCCCCGUCUUGAAACACGGACCAAGGAGUCUAACAUGCGUGUGAGUUCAUGGGUGGUCAAACCUGUUUGCACAGUGAAAGUAUUGGCUGGGAAAUUUGCACCAGCGACGGACCAUUCAAUUCUGAGAAGUCUGAAUAUGAGCAUGCCUGUUAGGACCCGAAAGAUGGUGAACUAUGCCAGUGAAGGGCAAACUCAGGGGAAACUCUGAUGGAAGCCUGUAGUGAUACUGACGUGCAAAUCGUUCGUUAUACAUGGGUAUAGGGGUGAAAGACUAAUCGAACCAYCUAGUAGCUGGUUCCCUCCGA
Molecule: ribosomal RNA, 936 nt
Filed under: Protoperidinium pellucidum
Lineage: Eukaryota; Dinophyceae; Peridiniales; Protoperidiniaceae
Description: LSU rRNA
Rfam family: Eukaryotic large subunit ribosomal RNA
Source: RNAcentral